RNAcentral lists this ribosomal RNA (273 nucleotides) under uncultured prokaryote. RNAcentral describes it as "partial 16S ribosomal RNA". It matches the Rfam family "Bacterial small subunit ribosomal RNA", at positions 524 to 796 of the family's 1533-position model. The record is from RNAcentral.
UACGAAGGGAGCAAGCGUUGUUCGGAAUUACUGGGCGUAAAGAGCGCGUAGGCGGUUUGAUAAGUUGGGCGUGAAAUCCCCGGGCUUAACCCGGGAACUGCGUUCAAAACUAUCUGACUCGAGUGUGGAAGAGGUUGGUGGAAUUCCCAGUGUAGAGGUGAAAUUCGUAGAUAUUGGGAAGAACACCCGUGGCGAAGGCGGCCAACUGGUCCAUAACUGACGCUGAGGCGCGAAAGCGUGGGGAGCAAACAGGAUUAGAAACCCCCGUAGUCC